GCCAGUGCGACAUCCCCUAUAAAUACGCUCUGCACCCUUUGCCAUUCCUCACUCCUCGGCUGCUCACUAGGUGUGCUUACACUGGUUGAAGUAACUUUUCGGUGACAUCCAGAAAAGGUGGUCUCCUAUUCUUGGCUCUAGUGAGUCUUCUUGGAUCAGUUGCAGAAGCAAGACUUUCAGUACAAAAGGCCACGUGAAGGCCUUUCAACUGGAUCGCUGUAAAAAUGAAGGGAGACAUAAGAUGGUCUCGGGAUGUCCAGAGACAUGAAGAGACCGGAGCGGAAGGAGGUGUGCUUACAUUGGUUGAAUUAACUUUUCGGUGACAUCCAGAACAGGUGGUCCCCUAGUCUUGGAGCUAGUGCAUCUUCUUGGAUCCGUUGCAGAAGCAAGACUUUCAGUACAAAAGGCCACGUGAAGGCAUGUGAAACCUUGCUGUAGAGAAUGUUCACAGCCAGCCUUGUGUUGAUAGUCAUGAGAGCAAGAAGUCUUACAAGCAUUUUAUGAUCUUUGCCUUUUGGAGGCUGGUUUCCUCAAGGAUGAGGAAGAGCUGUAGACUGACUUGAAUGCAGCAGUGAAGACUCUUGGGGCCCAGAAGAACAAGCCUAUGUGGAAGUGUUUGCUCUCAAAUUCUGUGCUUUUGGAUGGUGACCGGAGAGCCAAUGGACAACUCAUGAAUAUAAAUAACUGAUAUGUGGCAAUAAAUACUAAAAUAAA
Molecule: long non-coding RNA, 714 nt
Organism: Perca flavescens (yellow perch)
Lineage: Eukaryota; Metazoa; Chordata; Actinopteri; Perciformes; Percidae
Exons: 15
Source: RefSeq, a predicted model, not a curated record